CCUACGGGUGGCAGCAGUGGGGAAUAUUGGGCAAUGGGCGCAAGCCUGCCGCAGCAACGCCGCGUGAAGGAAGAAGGCUUUCGGGUUGUAAACUUCUUUUCUCAGGGACGAAGCAAGUCACGGUAACUGAGCAAUAAGCCACGGCUAACUACGUGCCAGCAGCCGCGUUACUACGUAAGGGGCAAGCUUUAUCCGGGUUUACUGGGUGCAAAGGGCGUGUAGGCGGGACUGCAAGGCAGAUGUGAAAACCACGGGCUCAACCUGUGACCUGCAUUUGAAACUGUAGUGCUUGAGUACUGGAGAGGCAGACGGAAUUCCUGGUGUAGCGGUGAAAUGCGUAGAGAUCAGGAGGAACACCAGUGGCGAAGGCGAUCUGCUGGACAGCAACUGACGCUGAGGCGCGAAAGCGUGGGGAGCAAACAGGAUUAGAUACCCGAGUAGUC
This 443-nucleotide ribosomal RNA is filed under the name uncultured bacterium. Its description in RNAcentral is "partial 16S ribosomal RNA". It matches the Rfam family "Bacterial small subunit ribosomal RNA", at positions 338 to 795 of the family's 1533-position model. The record is from RNAcentral.